RNAcentral lists this ribosomal RNA (329 nucleotides) under uncultured fungus. Its description in RNAcentral is "eukaryotic LSU rRNA". The stretch from base 1 to 125 matches the Rfam family "5.8S ribosomal RNA", at positions 30 to 154 of the family's 154-position model. The record is from RNAcentral. Lineage: Eukaryota; Fungi.
GCAUCGAUGAAGAACGCAGCGAAUUGCGAUACGUAUUGUGAAUUGCAGAUUUUCGUGAAUCAUCGAAUCUUUGAACGCACAUUGCACCCUGUGGUAUUCCACAGGGUAUGCCUGUUUGAGCGUCAUUUCCUUCUCAAGCGUGAGCUUGGUGUUGGCGGAGGCCUUUCGAGGCCCCGCUGAAAUACGCAGGGGGUGCGUGGAAACGAGCUUUCUCUGUUACUAAUGUGUAGGUUCUGCCAACCUACAUUGGAAGAUUGACUGCCCCCUUCACAAUCCCACCCCCCCCACUAACACACAAACAUGACCUCAAAUCAGGUAGGAUACCCGCA